GGAGAGGUGGCUGAGUGGUUGAAAGCGGCAGGUUGCUAACCUGUUAUAGGAGUGUAAACUCCUAUCCGGGGUUCGAAUCCCCGCCUCUCCGCUA
This 94-nucleotide transfer RNA is filed under the name Candidatus Falkowiibacteriota bacterium. RNAcentral's name for it is "tRNA-Ser". It matches the Rfam family "tRNA". Rfam says of the family: Transfer RNA (tRNA) molecules are approximately 80 nucleotides in length. Their secondary structure includes four short double-helical elements and three loops (D, anti-codon, and T loops). Further hydrogen bonds mediate the characteristic L-shaped molecular structure. tRNAs have two regions of fundamental functional importance: the anti-codon, which is responsible for specific mRNA codon recognition, and the 3' end, to which the tRNAs corresponding amino acid is attached (by aminoacyl-tRNA synthetases). tRNAs cope with the degeneracy of the genetic code in two manners: having more than one tRNA (with a specific anti-codon) for a particular amino acid; and 'wobble' base-pairing, i.e. permitting non-standard base-pairing at the 3rd anti-codon position. The record is from RNAcentral. Lineage: Bacteria; Candidatus Falkowiibacteriota.